Long non-coding RNA from Centrocercus urophasianus (Greater sage-grouse), 3171 nucleotides. RefSeq lists it as uncharacterized. The record is from RefSeq and is a predicted model, not a curated record. Lineage: Eukaryota; Metazoa; Chordata; Aves; Galliformes; Phasianidae. The transcript is spliced from 2 exons.
UUUACGAACGCUGCUAAGCUACUGCUGUUUGGUGUGACAGAUUGUUCAGCUGCUUCUGCUCUCUCAAAGGGCCCCAGACAACAAUAGUAAGGCUGUGAAAGCACAGGGUUGGGAUGAACAGCUAGAGCAGUGUGUGAGGAACUACAGACAUCUGCUGAGCUCUGAACUGUCUUUUUACUCCUGGUUUAGUGAGCAUUAAAUGUGUUGCGUGCCUCUAUUGUCAAACUGGCUGCAUCUUGAGGGGAAAAAAAGAACAGAAGAAAAAGCAGACGAGAUGUCUGUGGCCCACUUAGAGCUCAUCAUGAAACACUUCAUAAAACAGGACAGCAACUGGUCUGUCUUCUUCGUCCUGUGACCACAAUGCUGUAAUCAUGUAAGCUAGACUGUGCUUAAGUAGGGAGAGGCCACUGUAUCUGCUGAAGGCAGUCAGUGAGUACAGAACGGCACGAUGCUACGUGGGGACUGCCAACCUGAAAUGCUGUGUGGCAUUUUUCCUAAAGGAAGACAUACAAGCCAGAGGUCUGCAAAGCACACAGACUCAUAGUGGAGCAGAGCUUCCAGAUGUGCCGUCCCUACAGGUACUGGUGAAUUGGGCCAGAUGUCCAUCUGAACCUUUAGGUAAGCACGCAGACAUUUCCACAAGUCUGGUCUUGUGCUGCUUCGCUAAGUGCUUUUGAAAGUCGCACCCAAUGUUAAAAAGAGAUUGAUGUGGGAGAUUAAGAUAAAUGCACAAAACACUUUCAUUUUCUUUAUUUUCAAUCGAUACUGUAUGAAUACAAAGUUUCUAGAAAGCUACAAAAAUUCUACCACUUUAUCAAGAAGGCAUCAAAAUGUGUCACUUUGCAAAGACAUGAAAACACCUGCAGUAACCGACACAAAAAUAGCAUUUUUAGAGUGAUGAAAUAAUUGCACUUAACUGUCAUGGAUAUUAAAGUUAUCACACAUAUGUACCGCGAAAGCUAGAAUACAUUUUUUUUUUUUUUACAAAGCACUUUAUAAAAAAAUUCUCUGCACACAAAACCUAUAAUUUUCAUAUUACUAUCAUACUAAAGAUAAAUUCACUUUAAAGCCAACACUUAAAACAUUUUAAACAAAAAAAGGUACCAGUACCUACACACAGACAAUAACAAAUACAAGAAUACUGUACUGCCAAGAGGUUUGACUGAAACUCCUUUUGAAAGCUUCUGCAAAUAUGUUAAGAAAACAUUGGAGAAUGUUCGGUGUUGUUUUUUUUUUUCAAAGAUCCUUCCCUCCCUGUCUAACCUAGAGGUACUUUAUCAUCAAAAGGCAAGUUCUACAUCAAAAGUUACCAGCAGCAGUACAAUAUUAAAGUAACCACUGACCAUAUAUGAAUAUGCUUAAGUCACAAACCCAUUUUAUACACAUUACACAAAUAAACAUAAAGUGAGAAUUCCAUUAAGUCAUUUACAAAUGUGAACAAAUGCACAUGGCAAAGAAAAAAAAAAAAAGAAAAAGAAAAAAAAAAGAAAAUUCAAACAAAACAAAACCCCAACCUGUUUUACAUAAAAUGUACUGAAGAAUUAAAGGCUAUUCAGGUUUUCAAUGUUAUAAAAUUCUCUUGUCUUUCUUUUUCAGGCACAUAUUGUAUUUUUUGUCUGCAGUCAUGAGCCUGAAUCAAAGAGGCCCAUAAAACAAAACAAAACAAAAACACAUAUUCUGAAAGGAGGUAACAGGGAUCUGUCUCCUUUUUGUCAACUGAGUGCAUUUAAGAUUUAAUUUACACGCUAAACUAAUUACAUGAUCUCAGCAAGAAUGACCUGAAAAGUUAAAAGAUGAAAAAUCUCCAAAGCGCGUUUUCUAUUUUGAAUUAUCCAGCCUUGAUCUUUUUUAGGGGGCUAAGCAUCUGGUCAUGAAAGGUAGGAGGGGGGAAAAGAGAUCAUCCUGAGAAAAAUACAAAACUAGACUCUGCUAUCACAUCUGCUGUUUGACCGGGUAUGUGAAUCAGUACGGGUCAAGUAAAGAACAGAGAAAACAUUUCUCAGUAUGAAUGAUCCAGGAAAACUGUAAGGGGAACUGCUUCCAAAGCGAGUAUGCCCUAGGAGCUGCAGUGGAAAAAUAAAUAGAUAUUAGUAUGUCAAAUGUUGUAUCUGCCUUGAACUGGCCAGUUACUUACAUUCAACAGUAAUGUACACCCUUCAUUACUUAAAAUAGCCUACAGCAUGGAGGUUUUAACGGAAGAAGCUACUGCCAACCUGACUGAGCUGUAGUUGCAGUAGAAAGGGAACGCGAGAAACAGGCAUUAUAUCUGCAAUUCCUUCAAAAUAGUGGUGCAGUACCUAAAUAAAAUCAUUUUGGAAUUCAAGUAAGUAAAACUACAGUUGCUAGUAGCAAUUUUUAACAGCCCCAAAUGGUACCGUUAUGCUUAUUUUAAUCAGACAGAAGUGUACUUUACCACAAGUACGGAUUAGUAAGACUGAAAUGUUUGGUAGUAACUGAAAAUAUAUGCUCUGCUUGCGGGGUGAAAUCAUCUUUGCCCUACCUCAGUUUCAUCGAAUUCAACACGAUUACUUGUCUCACAGAGGUAAGUGAGAUUUAGACCUUGAAGGAUUAACAAAAAUAAUAUUUUGGAGACAGGGAAUUUGAAUUAUCACAAUAUUUACCACACAGUGUCACAAUAUUUCUAUAUAUAAAAAGUUAAUCUUAGAUUUCAUCAAAUACUUUAAAAAUCAAGUUAAAAUCGUAUUCACAACUAUAUAAUCCCUCUGACAGCUUUUGGUUUUGCUGAUAUUUGUUCCUUCUAACAUCUUUUUCUUAAAAUCUUGCCCCUCUCCCCACCAAUUUUAGUUGUAGUGUACACAGUACGGCCCCCGUUCACAGAAGAUAUCAAACAAGACACAUUUUUCAGAGGAGCUGAUUUUUUUCUACCAAGACAUUGAUUGGGAGAAAAACAAAACAAAGCAACCCUGUGUUUUGAGCAGCGCUGGCCAGUUUCUCCAACAGCACCUUCAUCCACAAUGCUCACACUUAACAGUUCAAUGCUUAAAAACACACCACCACGUUAAUCUAGCUACUGUCCUCCAUUUUCAUCUUGUUUUAUGCAUCUGACCUCCAGCAUGCACAGUUUUGUAAACAAAGUCUUCCAUCUAAACAAAAAAUCCUCACAGACACUGAAAUAUUAUUAGAGGAGAACAAUAAAGCCACAUUUGUCCA